UGUGGACUUGAAAUUGAGCCAAAAUAGGUAC
This 31-nucleotide non-coding RNA is filed under the name Rattus norvegicus (Norway rat). Lineage: Eukaryota; Metazoa; Chordata; Mammalia; Rodentia; Muridae. The record is from RNAcentral.